UCAAACUUGGUCAUUUAGAGGAAGUACAAGUCGUAACAAGGUUUCCGUAGGUGAACCUGCGGAAGGAUCAUUAUUGAAUAAACCUGGUAGGUUGUCGCUGGCUUCUCGGAGCAUGUGCACGCCUGCCAUCUUUAUCCAUCCACCUGUGCACACAUUGUAGUCCUGGGAGAUGAAAACAGUGGAACCUCGAUAGCUAUCGGAUGUGGGGAGUGCCAUUGCGUCAAGCAUGGCUCUCUUCAAAACCCUGUAUUCACUCUUUUGACUAUGUUUUUCUAUACACCAUGUAGCAUGUUGCAGAAUGUAUCAAUGGGCCUCUGUGCCUAUAAUUAUCAAUACAACUUUCAGCAACGGAUCUCUUGGCUCUCGCAUCGAUGAAGAACGCAGC
Molecule: unclassified non-coding RNA, 385 nt
Filed under: uncultured fungus
Lineage: Eukaryota; Fungi
Description: partial contains small subunit ribosomal RNA, internal transcribed spacer 1, and 5.8S ribosomal RNA
Rfam family: Eukaryotic small subunit ribosomal RNA (bases 1-73)
Source: RNAcentral